AACGAACGCUGGCGGCAUGCCUAACACAUGCAAGUCGAACGGGAUCCGGACUUCGGUCCGGUGAGAGUGGCGGACGGGUGAGUAACACGUGGGAACCUGCCUUUUGGUUCGGGAUAACCGCGGGAAACUGCGGCUAAUACCGGAUGCUCCCGAGAGGGAAAAGAUUUAUCGCCAGAAGAGGGGCCGCGUCCGAUUAGGUAGUUGGUGGGGUAAUGGCCUACCAAGCCGACGAUCGGUAGCUGGUCUGAGAGGAUGAUCAGCCACACUGGGACUGAGAUACGGCCCAGACUCCUACGGGAGGCAGCAGUGGGGAAUAUUGGACAAUGGGGGCAACCCUGAUCCAGCAAUGCCGCGUGAGUGAUGAAGGCCUUAGGGUUGUAAAGCUCUUUUUGCCAGGGAAGAUGAUGACUGUACCUGGAGAAUAAGCCCCGGCUAACUCGUGCCAGCAGCCGCGGUAAU
This 459-nucleotide ribosomal RNA is filed under the name uncultured bacterium. RNAcentral's name for it is "bacterial SSU rRNA". It matches the Rfam family "Bacterial small subunit ribosomal RNA", at positions 29 to 524 of the family's 1533-position model. The record is from RNAcentral.